RNAcentral lists this long non-coding RNA (17908 nucleotides) under Triticum aestivum (bread wheat). Its description in RNAcentral is "long non-coding RNA (TAES_LNC020935)". Lineage: Eukaryota; Viridiplantae; Streptophyta; Magnoliopsida; Poales; Poaceae. The record is from RNAcentral.
UUCCACACUUAACUUGAUAAUUAAGUAGAUUAUAUUAAGAAAAUACAUCUCAAAUUUCUUCAACAAGAAUAACCACUCAAAUAUAUAUUUAUAUUCAUACACCUCAAACAGUACAGCUGUACAAGUGUAUUACAAAUCUUUGGAAAAAGAAAAUGGAGGGAGACUAAACUAUGCUAAUCUAUACAACAAUGCCAAACAAACUUAGACCAACCUAAAAAUAUCUCUGGGUCAACCAGAAUAGCAGGACACAUUUGAGACACACACUGACCACCACCCUCACGUGCACAAUAGAUUAAUAGUCAAUGGGUCAGCAAUAUAGUCUAUGUAUGGGCUUCAACCUUCAGCCAAUUAGAAGCUAGCACCUGUGAGAACAAUGGAGAAGGGGAUGGGCAGCCAUACCAGCCAAGGAAGAUGGUUUUCUGAUAUUAAAAGAAGAGACAGCAGAGCAAGCCAUUGCCAAGACUUCACACAUCUCCAUUUUUCCCCAAAUAGCCAAACCAGCAGCUUGUCUUCCUCCCACUGUCUUCAUCUUUCUAUCUGCAACCAACAAAGAUCCAAGAAAAAUAAGUAGAGAUGGUGAGCUGAGAAAUCAUAGUAGAUCGAAGGAGGAAGGCUAGAGCAAGAAGUUAGCCUACUGGACUGGGAUCUGGAAGUAGGAGCAGCACUAGUAGGAACAACAGAGAAGGCAAAAGAAGAAAGGUGAGUUCUUCUUCUUCUGUCAUUCCUUUAGCAGUCACACUCACAAAGAAGCCCAACCCAGAUGCACCCACAAUAUUCCUCACUAGUUCUUCACAAAUGCACACAAAAGCUAAAUCAUUCCAGUAGUAUCAUCUAUCACAGAUCUUAAAAUCAACAGUACAAGAAAUCAUGUAUAAUGCCUUAAUCAAGUAAAAUAAAAUGGAGCAAGAUAACGUACAACAUUAGUACACCAACAUCUUGCACAAUAGGAACUGAUUCAGUACACACACAUGCACAUGAGACUAAAUUAAUUUACCAAAUCUGAGAACUUGAGCAUAAAAAAGAAAGAAUUAGGGAGGGGACAAGGGCAUCACUAACCCGCACUUAUGCUCGAUCUGCUCCAUGGCCAUGCCUUUGAAUUCUUAUCUGCAACACCCAGCGGCACCGCAGACACCAACACCGACAGCUUCAAUCUGGAGCAGAUGAAUCACAGCACAACAAGAACCUAACCUCCAAGUCAAAUCUGAGAGGGGAUUAGAGAUUAGGGAUUUGGGAUCAGGGGAGAGAGAGAGAGGUCCGGCAGUGGCGGAGCAGCAUGUUCCCAUCGCUGGCGGCGUGGCCGAUCUGUCUAGGUUAGGAGCAGAGGAAUAGGAGGGAGAGAAGACAUGUGCGUGUGUUCUGUUCUUUUUUUUUUUGAACUGGUGUGUUCUGUUCUUGGUGGACUAGUAUUGGUGUGUGUUGUGUUCGAUGGAGGACUAGUAGAGGAGAGAGAGAGACUUGGAAAUUGAGAAAGGGAGAGGGCACGUGGAGGUUUCUAGUAGUGGUAAUUACCCAGGUGCACAUCUAAUAAUUGUCUAUUCUAAAUCCACCUACUAAAGCAAUCUUAGUAAAAAAGGAAAAAUAGGUAAUAAAAGAAAUAAUUAUGUCCGACUGUAAGAUGACCACACUGCACCGACGUAUAAUUUUAUUUCCCUCGUGUUCACUCGACUUAGUCUCGAAAUAUAUAUUUGCCGAACUGCAGGAAGCGAGUACAGCCCGGAGAAGGAGGCGCUACAGAAGCAAAUUGAGUCCGGAUCUGAGUACAAAAACUCAGGCAAGCUCUCCUUGAUCAGGCUGAGUAGAACUUUUUCUGAAGAAAAAAACACUAUUCUCUACUAUGUUAUCAUCAACUUGCAUAAAAUGGUUUGGUAAUAAAUUGUGUGGAGUGACUGUUGACAUAUAGUUGGGUUAGCUGAUGGAGCAGCUAAUCCAUUGAUUUAUUUAUUUUAUAAUUAUUCAGUGGGUAGAGGGCGCCCUAGAUGGACAUACGGGAAGGUGGGGCCCUCUACAUAUGGCUAGUAUAUUAAGAUUAAAUAACUUUCACUCAUUUUAUGUGCCAUACUACAACCGUAUCAACCAUGGUCUCAUCUAUGACGAGUUGAGCCCAACACCAUCAAGUUAUUAUACUCUUGACAUGGGUAAGUAGUAGUAGGAUGGGCGAUGAGUUCCCACGCUAAUGCCGGAUGAGUGCAUUAGCAAGCGCUAUAUAUUCAGCGUUGGUGGAGUGCGGGUUCCGAAACCCGACACAACAGCUAGUGACCACUAGCCGGGUGGAGAUAUAAUAUACAUAAUGGAAACAAGUUUUAUGUUCUGAACCAUGUCUCGCAUCUAAGGAAAUGCAGAUGGCAAUUAUGGUUUCGAGCUCUAUGGGUAAAGUGAUACAAACUCUGCAGAGUUAAAGUAAAACAUGAAUUCAUGCCAGUCUCUUGGAUUGGGGACUACGGGGACCUAAUGGUGGUCUAUCUCGCAAUACGAGUGUUUGAUAGUUUUUUAUAAAUUGAAAUAAACUUUCUGCAAAAAAUAUUUAUUUAUUUUACAGGAGUUGAGUUGAGGUAGGACUUGUUGAUUUAUAUUGAGCUAUCAUGAGUGUGCAUUUUUCUAUUUGAGAUUGCUGAGUACUUUGUACUCACUCUUGCUAUUAAUCGUCUCUUUCCUGGUGCAAAGCUUGUAUGAUAAUCCUACUGGACCAAGUGAGGAGAGCAAUGGUGAUGGAUACAACUACACAGGGGACAUAGAUGUGGAUCCAUCCAGUGCCAUGUACGAUCUGGAUGCUACAUAUGGGGGCUGGGAUGAAUAAGUAACUAUGAUCUAGCUAUGUAAUCCAAGAACUAUUUUAUCACAAUCAAAUCUUGGACCGCUAGUUGGAACUCCAGUUUUAGGACAUGUAAUAAUUUGAUGAACAUGUGAGAAGCCUACUUGAGACUUCAGCCCUGUGUGGCAUGGUAUUGUAAUAUAGAUGACCAUCUCUAGCUAUUCCUUGUUGCAAAUCUCUGACAUGAAUUAUUAUUUGAAAACACAAGAUUUUGUCAAGAAAUAAUCCAAGGACUAGUGCAUUAUCUAUAUUAAUAAUGACACGGGUCGUCACAGGUGGUAUCAGAGCAAUGGUUUCGAGGGCCACACAGAUAGUGAGAGAUGGUUGGAAUAGUUUAGUUGGAACCCAUACUUGCUAUAAUGCACCACUAAUUAAUUCCAUAUCAUAUUAUUCUAUCCAGUAACUUUAGAUGACUACCAUGCUAAUUAGAAGCCUGUUGCAGGAUGGUUUGAGUUAGAAUUCCACCAUCAAGGGUUCAUGGCCAGCAUGUCCUACUACUUUGGAAAAUGAUGCAGGAGCUUGGGGCACCAUGUCCACAAUUCUUUGAAGAGAUGCCAGAUGAUGGAACACACUCCUACGGACGCGUAGUUGUGGUACUCAACGGUGUUCCAUCAGACAUGGACUUCUACGCGGAGCUCUCCACAAUGCAGCGGUCCUUCGAUGACACCCUACCAAUGCAAGAGGUUGCCAAGGAAGCUGUGCAUGGACUGCGAGCACGCUUUGGUGAGAAUUGCGCACCACCGGAUACCGUGACUUGCCAGCACUUGAUUCUGGAAGUUUUGGGCAAAACCAUCAGCAAGGACUAGAGUAGCAAGCCUGGGUGUCGGGUCUUCAUCAGCACAACCAACACCUGCCGCUUCAACAGUUAGCACCACUUCUAGUAUGACAAUGAUUGCUGAUGCGAUGAUGUAUCAUACAAUGAAGGAGGAGCUUAUUAGACAUCGGGAAGCAACCCAAUUCUGGUAUCAAUGCUAUCAGAUGAGCGGACAUGAUAGGAUUAUGCUUUAGGGAGCACUAAAUGCUAUGCCGGGAGGUCCUCUUAAUCCUAUAAUAGUACCAGGUGAUGUUCAAGAGGAAGAAGGGGAGGAUCCAGAUGAAGUAGAACUAGAGGAACCGGAAGAAGUUGAGGGAGUAGAGAACCCAGAUGAGCCACUAGUUCCACCCUAACCAGACGUACCACCUGCACCACCCCAGCCACUACCUGAACAUAUAGCUGAACCAGAACCAGCCCUACAGCCAGAUAUAGAGCAGCAGCUACACCACUUCCCUAUCCCACGACCACACCAACCUGACUUUAUCCACCCACACAUGAGUGUCAGCUCGAGGGAGUACAGGGAGACUGCUACCUAUGCAAGGGUACUUGGACUUGGCGCGAGUGGCAGCGGCAGAAGCAAUUGAAGUGGCAGCGGUAGCAACUAUGGUGGUGGCAGCGGCAUCGCCUAAUCAAGUUCCAAUCUGCCAGACUCUUAGGCAUGGGACCCCUUGGUCAUAGACUAGUCUUUUGGGAUCAGCAGUAGUUAGUGUAGUGGCAGCCUGAAUAUGUGUGUUUAUGUAAGAUAUGUGUGAACUGCAAUGACAGAGUAUGUCCCCUAUUGUAACACCCCGGAUGUAACUUUCCCAAUUUGUACUCCAACUCUUGUCGUUUCCGGCGUUAAGUUAUUUUAUUUUUCUCAGGUUCGGGUUUUUGUCUCUGUGUGUUGUUGUCGUUGUCAUGCAUCUCAUAUCAUGUCAUCAUGUGCAUUACAUUUGCAUACGUGUUUCAUCUCAUGCAUUCGAGCAUUUUCCCCGUUGUCCAUUUUGCAUUCCGGCGCUUCGUUCUCCUCCGGUGGUCAUUUCUAGCCUUUUUUCGUGUGUGGGGAUUAAACAUUUCCGGAUUGGACCGAGACUUACCAAGCGACCUUGUUUUAUUACCGAUAGACCGCCUGUCAAGUUUCGUAUCAUUUGGACUUCGUUUGAUACUCCAAUGGUUAAUCGAGGGACCGAAAAGGCCUCUUGUGUGUUGCAGCCCAACACCCCUCCAAUUUGGCCCAAAACCCACCAAAACCCUCUCCUUCAUCUAGAUCGUUCGAUCACGAUCGCGUGGCCGAAAACCGCACCUCAUUUGGACUCUCCUAGCUCCCUCUAUGCCUAUAUAAAGGCCUCUCCCCGAAAUCCGGAUCCCCCCUCGUUCUAAACCCUUGUCCCCUUCGUCUCCACGCACCGACGGACAAAUAUCGUCCGGCCGGACACGUCCGGAGUCGCCGCCGCCCGCCCGCGCCUAUCAGGCGUCGCCACGUGGCACAACAGCCGCCGCCGCCGCUGAGGCCCGUUCGGCCCAGGGCGGGCCCUCGCCGCCGCCAACCGGGCCGCCGCCUNNNNNNNNNNNNNNNNNNNNNNNNNNNNNNNNNNNNNNNNNNNNNNNNNNNNNNNNNNNNNNNNNNNNNNNNNNNNNNNNNNNNNNNNNNNNNNNNNNNNNNNNNNNNNNNNNNNNNNNNNNNNNNNNNNNNNNNNNNNNNNNNNNNNNNNNNNNNNNNNNNNNNNNNNNNNNNNNNNNNNNNNNNNNNNNNNNNNNNNNNNNNNNNNNNNNNNNNNNNNNNNNNNNNNNNNNNNNNNNNNNNNNNNNNNNNNNNNNNNNNNNNNNNNNNNNNNNNNNNNNNNNNNNNNNNNNNNNNNNNNNNNNNNNNNNNNNNNNNNNNNNNNNNNNNNNNNNNNNNNNNNNNNNNNNNNNNNNNNNNNNNNNNNNNNNNNNNNNNGCCCCGUCGUCCAAGCUGCCGCCGCCGCCAAGUCCGGCGAUCCGGCCGCCCUUCGCCAUCCUCCCCGCGAACUCCGGCGAGAUCCCGCCAAGUCCGACCGACCACCACGACGCCAUCGCCGGCGACCUCGACUCCGUCGUGAACAGUGCCCCGACCGUGCCUCGGAUUCCGUGCCAACCCUAGAUCUGAGAGAGGUUGUUUUUUUUCACUAAGUCCCCAGAAAUUCCAGAUCCAUGUGCUCUUGUUCUUAGCCUCGUAACUUUGCAUUCGUAGCUCCGAUUUGGGCAUAUAGCAUAUCAAAAUGUUCAUCUCAAAGAGUACAUCAUUUCAUUCCAUUGCAUCAUUUUCAUUUGAGUUCAUCUUGAUGGCAGAAAUGCUGUUAGAAGAGGGAUACUUGAGAUAAUUGUCAGAUCUGCUGCUCCAUUUAGCUUUUUGUCAUUUUUGCCAUGAUUAAUGUGUGCAUGAUAUGCCCUGAUGUUCUACAUAUGUUUUGUUAAGGGUUUUGUCAUCUUUCCAGAGGUGCAACCCAUGUAUUUUUGUGAUGUGUGUGGUGACUAGUACAAGCUUGCAAAGUGGUGCACUUGGUAAUUCUGAUUUCAGGGACUUAGCAUUUCCACUAAGUCCUUGAUCUGUUUAUCUCAUGUUGCCAUAUGAUCAUGUUGUUUCCUAGUGAUCCGUGCCUCUUUUGAGGAUGAUCAGUAAGGAUGUUUUAUUAAUCUUGUAGUGAUCUAUCCAUCCAUGUGUUUGUUUGCAAUUAUGGAGCACCCUAGCUUGAGUCAAUCGAGCUCUACUUUUGCUACUUUGUGAAUCUGGGCAGAUUGUCAACUUGUUUGCAAUUUUGCCGAUGAUGUUGUAGGUGAUCCGUGCAUGCUAUGUUAUUGUUCUUGCCAUGUCUAGCUUGAUUUUUGUGUAUUCUUGAUGGUUGUAUGCUUAGUUUGUCAUGACUUUCUCCGUAGUGAGUGCAUCGAGCUCGUAAACAUGCCUACUUGAGAUAUGUUUCAGCAUGUGCCAGUUUUCACUAAGUCUGAAAACUGAUUAUGUUUUUGCCAUGUUCACAUGCUUGCAAUUGUAUUUUCUAAUCCCUUUUGGCUCAAGGUCACUAAGGGACUUUUGUUAAGCUCUUUGAGUAGCUCCAUGCCAUGCUUUCUUUUGCCAUGUUCAGUUCCUGCAGCACAUAGUUUUGUUGCUUCGAAGAGUGCUACCUGAUGUGAAAUUCCAGACAAGUGUUAAUUUCUGUUUGCCAUAUGCAUUUUUGUCGUGCUUGUUUGAACCUGUUAAUGGAUGAAUUGGCCGUUGCUCAGUGCUAGACUUUUGUUAAGCAUCUUGUAUGCAUCCCUUCCAUGUAUUUUGUGGUCAUGUUUGGAAGCUGUAGCAUGUUCAUCUCAUUGCAUUUAGAUGGCUACUUGCUGUAAAUCGCAGACCGAUGUCAUUUUUGAAUCGCUUGCCAUUUCCAAACCGUAACUCCGAUUCCGGCGUUCUUUAUAUCGUUUUCAAGCGAUUUCAUCUCAUCUUUCCAGUGGUACACUUGGAUUUUAAAGUUGAGGCCAGGUUCAUGCAUUCAUUGUCACAUCUUGCAUAUGCAUCCCGCAUCACAUCCCGCAUAGCAUAUCAUCUUUGCAUCAUCUUGUUUGAUCCUUGCACGUGGUUGAUUUGUGUCCUUGUUGCUUGUUUGUCUUGUUUGGGUAGAGCCAGGAGACGAGUUUGUUAACGAGGAGCCCGUUGAGUUUGCUUUCGAGGAUCCAAUCAACUCUGACAACUGUGCAGGCAAGAUGAUCAUACCCUCGAAAUCACUACUAUCUUUGCUAUACUAGUUUGCUCGCUCUUUUGCUAUGACCAAUGCUACGAUGCCUACCACUUGCUUUCAAGCCUCCCAAAUUGCCAUGUCAAACCUCUAACCCACCAUGUCCAAGCAAACCAUUGAUUGGCUAUGUUACCGCUUUGCUCAGCCCCUCUUAUAGCGUUGCUAGUUGCAGGUGAAGAUUGGAGGUUGUUCCUUGUUGGAACAUUUAUUUACUUGUUGGGAUAUCAUUAUAUUACCAUGUUAUCUUAAUGCAUCUAUAUACUUGAUAAAGGGUGGAAGGCGCGGCCUCUCGCCUAGUGUUUUGUUACACUCUUGCCGCCCUAGUUUCCGUCAUAUCGGUGUUAUGGAUUUUGCGUUCCUCACGCGGUUGGGUUAUAAUGGGAACCCCUUGAUAGUUCGCCUUGAUUAAAGCUUUUCCAGCAAUGCCCAACCUUGGUUUUACCAUUUGCCACCUAGCCUUUUCUUUCCCUUGGGUUCUGCAGACUCAAGGGUCAUCAUUAUUUUAACCCCCCGGGCCAGUGCUCCUCUGAGUGUUGGUCCAAACUGUCAGCCGCCGGUGGCUACCAGGGGCAACUCUGGGCUGGCCUACCGGAAGUUUAGACAAUCUGAGUGUGCCCUAAGAAAGAGAUAUGUGCAGCUUCUAUCGGGAUUUGUCGGCACAUUCGGGCGGUGUUGCUGGUCUUGUUUUAACCUGUCGAAGUGUCUUGAAGAACCGAGAUACCGAGUCUGAUCGGAACAUCUUGGGAGAAGGUUUAUUCCUUCGUUGACCGUGAGAGCUUGUCAUGGGCUAAGUUGGGACUCCCCUGCAGGGAUUUGAACUUUCGAAAGCCGUGCCCGCGGUUAUGGGCAGAUGGAAAUUUGUUAAUGUCCGGUUGUAGAUAACUUGAACCUUAACUUAAUUAAAAUGAAUCAACUGAGUGUGUUACCGUGAUGGCCCCUUCUCGGCGGAAUCCGGGAAGUGGACAUGGUGUUGGAGUAAUGUUUGCGCAUGUUGCUCUCUAGUUUCUCGCUCGCGCUUUGCCUCCUCUUCCCGCUCUCUUUUGCGAAUAAGUUAGCCACCAUUUUUGCUAGUCGCUUGCUGCAGCUCCACAUAUACUUUUACCUUGCCUUACCUAUAAGCUUAAACACUACUAGAAAAACCGCUACUAAUGACGCACCUAAUUUGGCCAUUAAUGGCGCAUCACCGGUGCGCCAUUACUAGCACGCCAUUAGUAUAGGUCACGGUGCGCCAUUAGUAUGCCUCCCAGGGGCCAUGUAUACCCAGGUGCUUUGGAUACUAAUGGCGCACCACAACUGGAUGCGCCAUUAGUAACCGCGGCAUACUAAUGGCGCAAUGUCCUNNNNNNNNNNNNNNNNNNNNUAGGAGGGGGAUGCGGGGGACGCGGAUCUGCGGGCGAAGCAGCGGACAAUUCUCCACUACUAGAAAAACCGUUACUAAUGGCGCACCUAAUUUGGCCAUUAAUGGCGCAUCACCGGUGCGCCAUUACUAGCACGCCAUUAGUAAUUUUUACUAAUGGCGCACCAGUGGUGCGCCAUUAGUAUCUGGUAUACUAAUGGCGCACCACUGGUGCGCCAUUAGUAUGCCUCCCAGGGGCCAGGUGCUUUGGAUACUAAUGGCGCACCACAACUAGAUGCGCCAUUAGUAACCGCGGCAUACUAAUGGCGCAAUGUCCUGUGAUGCGCCAUUAGUGAUGCGCCAUUUUGAAUCUAGAUCUGGAUCGUGAUUUUUUGCCCAUUUUUUGCUCGUUUUUUUUGCUUGUUUUUUGGCACGACAAUAUUCUCAAAUUUUGUUCCUGUUUUUGGAUCUUGUUGCCAUGGUCUUUUGCCGGAGAGGAGUUCGCCGGAGAGGAGGGNNNNNNNNNNNNNNNNNNNNNNNNNNNNNNNNNNNNNNNNNNNNNNNNNNNNNNNNNNNNNNNNNNNNNNNNNUCCUGUGAUGCGCCAUUAGUGAUGCGCCAUUUUGAAUCUAGAUCUGGAUCGUGAUUUUUUGCCCAUUUUUUGCUCGUUUUUUUGCUUGUUUUUUGGCACGACAUUAUUUCAAAUUUUGUUCCUGUUUUUGGAUCUUGUUGCCAUGGUCUUUUGCCGGAGAGGAGUUCGCCGGAGAGGAGGAGGAGGAGGUCGCUGGAGAGGAGGAAGGAGAAACCAUGAGGUGAUGGGAGGAGCUCACCGGAGAGGAGGGAGGAGGAGCUCACCGGAGAGGAGGGAGGAGGAGCUCACCGGAGAGGAGGGAGGAGGAGCUCACUGGAGAGGAGGGAGGAGGAGCUCACCGGAGAGGAGGGAUUUUUCAUAUGGUGAUGGAUACAAGUGAGGAGAGCAAUGGUGAUGGAUACAACUACACAGGGGACAUAGAUGUGGAUCUAUCUAGUGCCAUGUACGAUCUGGAUGCUACAUAUGGGGGCUGGGAUGAAUAAGUAACUAUGAUCUAGCUAUGUAAUCCAAGAACUAUUUUAUCACAAUCAAAUCUUGGACCGCUAGUUGGAACUCCAGUGUUAGGAGAUGUAAUAAUUUGGUGAACAUGUGAGAAGCCUACUUGAGACUUUAGCCCUGCGUGGCAUGGUAUUGGAAUAUAAAUGACCAUCUCUAGCUAUUUCUUGUUGCAAAUCUCUGACAUGGAUUAUUAUUUGACAAGACAAGAUUUUGUCAAGAAAUAAUCCAAGGACUAGUGUCAUUAUCUAUGUUAAUAAUAACACGGGUCGUCACAAUCUAGUAGGCCAAACCAAACUGAUAAUUCAAAGAGACUUGCAAAGAUAUUUAAAUCACGCAUAAAAGAAUUCAGAGAAGAAUCAAAUAUUGUUCAUAGAUAAUCUUGAUCAUAAACCCAUAAUUUAUCAGAUCUCGACAAACACACCACAAAAAGAAUUAUAUCGAAUAGAUCUCCAAGAGAAUCAAGGAGAACUUUGUAUUGAGAUCCAAAGAGAGAGAAGAAGCCAUCUAGCUAAUAACUAUAGGCCCCAAGGUCUGUGGUAAACUACUCACACAUCAUCGGAGAGACUAUGGUGUUGAUGUAGAAGCCCUUCAUGAUCGAUUCCCAUUCCGGCGGAGCGCCGGAAAACGCCCCAAGAUGGGAUCUCAUGGGUACAGAAGGUUGCGGCGGUGGAAAUAGGGUUUCACGGUGCUCCUGGAUGUUUUCAGGGUAUAUGGGUAUAUAUAGGAGGAAGAAGUACGUCGGUGGAGCUGCGAGGGGCCCACUAGGAUGGGGGGUGCGCUAACCCCCCUGGGUGUGCCCUCUUGCCUCAUGGCCUCUUCGCUUCUUUCUUGACGUCCACUCCAAGUCUCCUGAAUCACGUUUGUUCCAAAAAUAACCCUCCCGAAGGUUUCAUUCUGUUUGGAUUCCGUUUGAUAUUCCUUUUCUGCGAAACACUGAAAUAGGAAAAAAGCAGCAAUUUGCACUGGGCCUUUAGUUAAUAGGUUAGUCCCAAAAAUAAUAUAAAAAGAUAUAUUAAAGCCCAUUAAACAUCCAAAACAGAUAAUAUAAUAGCAUGAAACAAUCAAAAAUUAUAGAUAUGUUGGAGACGUAUCAAUCAUCCGUAUCAUUGCUCCCAUGAUCUCGGAGUGAGACCGCGAGAGUGGUUAAUCUCCGGUAGAGCUCACGAGGUUCUUCAUCUUCAUUCAUUGCAAACUCAUCGGCUUCAUUUUGCACCACUUCACGAGGUUCUACCCGUAACUUUUCGAGUAGAUGAUUUUUCAUAUAAAAAACUUUUUCAUCCGAGUUAGUAUGCAAAAGUUAUGCCCAUUUUUACAAAUUCUCGUGAGAUUUUGCAAAUGAAGUCAAAAUUCAUUUUUGCAAAUUUUCCCAACAACUAGGCCACAUAUCACAUGGGAAACUUAUUUUUUUUAUUUUUUUGACAUUUUUAUCAUUUUCUUUUAUUUUUUUUAAACUGAAAAGGCGAUCCAUGGGGGGGGUGCAUUCGAUGGAAGUGGUGGCCAAGGUUACUAAUGGUGCACCGUGGCAUGGUGCGCCAUUACUAGUUUAACUAGUAAUGGCGCGCCACGCCGACGGUGCGCCAUUAGUAGUUUUGAAAAAAAUUCAAAAAAAAAGUUUUAAUUUUUUUUUACUAAUGGCGCACCGUGGGAGUGGUGCGCCAUUACUAGUUCAAACGCACCACUCCCACGGUGCGCCAUUAGUAGUUUUGAACAAAAUUUAAAAAAAAAAUUUACUAAUGGCGGACCGUGGAUGUGGUGCGCCAUUAGUGUUUUGGACACUAAUGACGCACCAACACAUGGUGCGCCAUUAGUAUAUAGUAAUGACGCACCAUAUGUCUGGUGCGCCAUUAGUGUCAAUUCCAUCUAUAGCCCUUUUCCUAGUAGUGAAAUAGUCUUGAUCACGAGGGUGCAAGAUUGCUGAGUCCCUGUGGCUCAUAGAUUACUAUUACACCAGAUGCAGGGCCCGAUGAUUCUGCUCCAGGAGACGCGUUUGAGCUUAAGUGGGAGUUCGACGAAGACUCUCAACGUUACUAUGUUUCCUUUCUUGAUGAUCAGUAGUGGUGUCUAGUUGGGGGUGAUCGGGACCGUGUCGCAUGUUGGGUUCUUUUUUAUUUUGGCGCCGUAGUCGGGUCAUGAGUGUUUGGAUGAUGUAAUGUUAUUUAUGUACUUGAUUGACGUGGCGAGUGUAAACCAACCAUGUUAUCUCCCCUUUAUUAUUUAUAUUACAUGGGAUGUUAUGAAGAUUGCCUAACUUGCGACAUACGCCUUCAAUGCGAUUAUGUCUCUAAGUCGUGCCUCGACACGUGGGAACUAUAGUCGCAUCGAGGGUGUUAUACCUAUGUACUAGUAGGAAUUGAACCAUAUGUAGUGUUUAGUGUAGUCAUAAUGUAGUUAUGCCCCUAAUUAAGACCUAUGUGAUGUACCGAUCUAACAUAAGUGUUUGCCCUGUAGUAUAUAACUUGCGUGCAUUAGGAGGCUCGUAGUACUUUACUAUUGUGUGCUUUAGUGAGUAAUCAGAGUGAUAUUAUUCUGGGUAGUAAGAGGCAUUUGCCACCAUGAUUGCACUUCAUGUUUGGUUACUACAAAUUUAAGGAUGGCAUGCUAUUUAUUGAUAUCACUUGCACUUGUGCUUGCUGAUUGAAUCAAUCUUUACCUAAUUAUAUAUAUUAUAUAUAUAAUAAUAAAGGGGCUAACGCUUCUUCCUCCUUAAUUUUCGUCCGUUUUUGUAUGUCAAAGGUUUUUUUCGGUCCGUCCUUCAAAGGUUCGUAUGUCGUUUAAUCGAUCUGUUCGUUCGGUUAAAACCAAAUCUGAUCGAAAGAAGCUACAUGGACCACACGCAACGAGGCCGAAUUAUUUCAGCCCGAGCUGGGCCAAAUUAUUCCGGCCCAUCCAGGCCGACCGACACAAAAAAUUGUUGCCCGGUGUGGCGAAUCGAACUUGCAACUUGAUGUGCGAAAUCUAAUAUUGCGGCCAAUUAAGCUAGCUCGUGUUGCAUGAUAAUAAAAAAUUGAUUCACCUAUAAAAUAGUCCCACCUCAUUUCCUUACAUUCAAUUUUCCUAAUUUAUAUACGUCUUCAUUUUUUCUAGGUAACAAGGAGCCAUCUCGAAAAUCAUUAAGGAAGGAAAUAAACCAUCCGUGGUAAGGAAGGAAAUAAAAAAGAAGGAAAGAAGGAUUGAAUAAAAGAAUGAAGAAGGAAAUAAGGAAGGUAAAGAGGAAAUAAAUAGGAGGAAAGAAUAAAGAUGGAAAGAAAGGCAUUGAAUGGAAGAAUAAAUAAUGAAAAAUGAAGGAAAUAAAAUAGAAGGAAAGAAUAAAAGAGGGAUUUUAGUUUGUGAUAGAGAACAAUAAUAAAGACGAGGAAAGAGGAGAAUUUUAACGUAGAAGCGCCAUGGCGCUCAAGUUUCUACUGCUAGAACGAAGUCGUGCGAACAGAAACAAAAGUAGGCAGCGAAUUGGAUCUUUUUAAUCAUAUUUUUUCUAUUUUUCUAUCAUAUUUAAAGUGGGGAAAAGAAAGGAGACGUGAACUCCUUUUUUAGCCGACUUGGAAUCCUAAACAUGUAGGAGUACAUGUCAAAGAGGAUGCAUCUUUUUUGUUAUUUUUUUUCAUCAAGUUAAAAAUUGGUUACAGAAGUAUAAAAAAAAUUGCUGCUCGCAAACAUUAAAACUUAAUGCAUGGCUGUUAAAGUAAAUAAUUAACACAUGCAUUUUCAUUAAUAAACAAAUAAAAAAAUGUACAUUGAAUGAAAAUAAAUAAAAUGUGAGUACGCACAAUUUUCCUAGAUCCAUAAUACGUAUACUUUCGUAUGCCCUAUGUUUGAGCAUGACUAUAGCUAGCUUGAGAAGAAAAGUUAGUGCAAGUCUCGAAACUCCAUUGUGUGGCAAUUGCUUCACUUUACUUUGUUUUAGUUCACAAAAGUUAAUGGGGUAAACUACCAUUUUAUUUUUAUAAGGACAAAAACAAUUAGUGCAUGUUAGGGUUAUAAAUGUGCAAAAAUAAUUGGUGGCUCACAAACAUUAAAACUUUUUUUUGCGGGGUCACAAACAUUAAAACUUAAUUCAUGGCCGGUUAAAUUAAUUAAUUAACAAAUGCAUUUUGAUUAAUACAAAAUCAAAAAUAUAGUGGAUUAAAAUAAAUAACAUGAUUUUUUUCCAGAGUAAGUAGAAAUAAUAUGAGUAACAAAACAUUAAUUUAAUUCAAGUAUAUAAUAGAUAAAUCCAAUCGGUUGCUCAUGUCAUGGUUUGAUUCUUUAUUGAGGAAAUUCAUUAUUUUUCUUCAUAAUCUCAAAGUAAUUUUUACCCCGCAAAAAAAAUCUCAGAGUGAUUUUGUUAGCUAGCCUAAACAUUAGUUACAUUAAAAGGUCGCAAAAUUUGAUUGUAUGUGCUAUUUAUUAUUAAUGAUAGGAAGUUUUGUUAAUAAGCACGUGCUACUCAUUUCUAGCAGCGUUUGUUUUGCUCUGUAGCAAAGUACAGAAGUAGUCUCGCGCACUACGACAACUGUCAGUCACGGUGGGAAGGGGGAUAGGCGGUGACACGGAAAGGCGUCUGUUGAGAAAAAUGACAUGGGCUUGUGGAGGUCUUGAGACUAUGCUUAUUGAGAUAGGGGCAUGCGAUAUGUUUUCUCCCGUUGCAACACACGGGCAUUUUUGCUAGUAAUCAUGCAAAGAAUAUAAGCAACUAACAAAAAAAUGCAGGAUGAAUAACAAUGGUUUGACCGAGCAAGACCUUGUCUUCCGUUUGGGAUCAAGCGCCCAUGAUCAGCAUGGGGGUAAUCCAGCUUCAGAAGAUCAAAGUGUUCUACCUGGACCGGUGCGACUUCCAAGCAAUCCAGAAGUGGGCAAUGCUGAAACUUCUGGACUUAUGGGUGGAGAAGGCAAUCUGGGAGAUGUCCUUAAGUUCAUGGAGAAUUCUCAAAGGGAGUCCCAAGAGAGCCAGAACCGCUUCCUCAAAGCAAUACUGACAAGACUAGUUCUUGGAGGAGCAAACAUACCCAGUGCAUGAGUUAGUUUAGGAGAGUUUCUGAAAACUCAGCAACCUACAUUCUCCAAGGCAGUGGAUCCACUAGAGGCAGAUGACUGGCUGUUAGAAGUAGAACAUAAUCUAGAAACUGUAGGGUGCUCAGAUGAAGAAAAGGUGAGAUAUGCAUUGCACCUGCUAACCGGACCAGCAACAGCUUGGUGGAGAAAUUUUUGUCUUAACCAAGCAAAUAAUCAGCCUAUCACUUGGGAGGAGUUCAAGGAGAAUUUCCGUCAGACCCAUAUUCCAAAGGGAAACAUGGAUAUCAAAACGAGGGAGUUUCGCAAUCUGACUCAAGGUAGUAAGAGGAUAAACGACUACCUGAACCAAUUUAAUGAUUUGACGAGGUAUGCUCUAGAUGAUGUGAACACUGAAGCCAAGAAAGUGGAGAAGUUUAUGGAGGGGUUGCAUCCAUUCCUGAAAAUGCACCUCUCGAUUCACGGGAUCACCAAGUUUCAAGACCUUGUCAAUAGGGCCUUCAUACUUGAGAAUGAGCAUUCCAACCUAAGUGAGGAGAGAAGGAAGAAAGCAAGGGUAGACCCACGCCCCAUGAUACAUCACCCACGUCUUAUGAUGCAUGGACCAGUGCGUCCUCAUAUGCCACCACCACGGCCUAGAUUCCCUACUCAGCCAACCUUUGUUCCUAAAUGUGGGAAGUGUGGAAAAGGUCACGCUACUCGUGAUUGUAUGACGGGUACAUGCGUUUGCUUCAAGAGUGGGAGGCCAGGACACCACAAGAUCAAUUGCACCUCUCCUCCCGCAAAUCCUACAACGCCACCUAUGCAGCAGACUCAAGUGCAUCGUCCACCAGCUGGGCAAGGACAAGGAGGACCUAUGAACUAUACAACAAGAGGAGCUGGGCGUGGAGGACAAAUAGGAGGACAACCUAGGCUGAAUUAUGUGGCUAUAGAGCAACUAGGAGAAGCUACAAAUGUUGUCAUCGGUAAACUACUCAUUCCUCCUUCAAUUGCUAUAGUUCUUUUUUUACACCGGUGCCACACACUUAUUUAUUUCCCAGUAACUCGUGAAUAAGAGCAUGCACACCGUUUGAGAAAGCUUUAGGAGUUAGCUCACCUGGAGGCAAGAUUGCAGUAGAGGCAAUGGGCAGAAAUCAACCAAUAAUAAUCCACAACACCAAAUUUUCAGCAAACCUGCAUGUCAUAGAGAUGCCAGGUUUAGAAAUAAUCCUUGGGAUGGUUUGGUUAGCUGCCAAUAUAGUGAAAGUAGAUUAUGAACUUAAAGGUGUAUAUAAAAGUAUUACCUAUAAAAGGGGUUCGACACUUUGGAAUCAAAGGGAAGCUAAGUCCUAGAUAUGUUGGGCCCUUUAAAAUUUUAGAGAAGGGGAAAUCUGCUUAUAAGUUGGAAUUACGACAACACCUAUCAAGGAUUCACAAUGUCUUCCACAUAUCUCAACCUAAGAAAUGCAACAAGCCACCACCACAAGUGUCAGACUUGGAGAUUGAUCUAAGACCUGACCUGACCUAUGAAGAGAGCCCAUUGAAGAUACUAGAAGUUGAAAACCGCAAGCUCACGACAAGAACCAUUCAGUUCAGCAAGGUAGAAUGGAGGAACCACUCCAUUCGUGAGGCGACGUGGGAGAGGAGGAAGACCUAUGAGUGACCUACUCAAACCUUUUCAUGUAGGUUUUGAUUUCGAGGACGAAAUCUUUUUCUAAGGAGGGUAGGAUGUAACGACCCGUAUUUUUUCACAUAGUAAUUCCACACUUAACUAGAUAAUUAAGUAGAAUAUAUUAAGAAAAUACAUCUCAGAUUUCUUCAACAAGAAUAACCACUAAAAUAUAUAUUUAUAUUCAUACACGUCAAACAGUACAACUGUACAAGUAUAUUACAAAUCUUUGGAAAAAGAAAAUGUAGGGAGACCAGACUAUGCUAAUCUAUACAACAAUACCAAACCAAACUUAGACCAACCCAAAAAUAUCUAUGGGUUAACCAGAAUAGCAGGACACAUUUGAGACAGACACUGACCACCACUCUCACGUGCACAAUAGAUUAAUAGUCAAUGGGUCAACAUUAUAGUCUAUGUAUGGGCUUCAACCUUCAGCUAAUUAGAAGCUAGCACCUAUGAGAACAAUGGAGAAGGGGAUAGGCAGCCAUACCAGCCAAGGAAGAUGGUUUUCUGAUAUUAAAAGAAGAGAGAGCAGAGCAAGCCAUUGCCAACACUUCACACAUCUCCAUUCUUCCCCAAAUAGCCAAACCAGCAGCUUGUCUUCCUCCCACUGUCUUCAUCUUUCUAUCUGCAACCAACAAAGGUCCAAGAAAAAUAAGUAGAGAUGGUGAGCUGAGAAAUCAUAGUAGAUCAAAGGAGGAAGGCUAGAGCAAGAAGUUAGCCUACUGGACUGGGAUCUGGAAGUAGGAGCAGCACUAGUAGGAACAACAGAGAAGGCAAAAGAAGAAAGGUGAGUUCUUCUUCUUCUGUCAUUCCUUUAGCAGUCACACUCACAAAGAAGCCCAACCCAGAUGCACCCACAAUAUUCCUCACUAGUUCUUCACAGAUGCACACAAAAGCUAAAUCUUUCCAAUAGUAUCAUCUAUCACAGAUCUUAAAACCAACAGUACAAGAAAGCAUGUAUAAUGCCUUAAUAAAGUAAAAUAAAAUGGAGCAAGAUAACGUACAACAUUAGUACACCAACAUCUUGCAUAAGAGGAACUGAUUCAGUACACACACAUGCACAUGAGACUAAAUUAAUUUACCAAAUCUGAGAACUUAAGCAUAAAAAAAAAGAAUCAGGGAGGGUACAAGGGCAUCACUAACCCGCACUUAUGCUUGAUCUGCUCCAUGGUCAUGCCUUUGAACUCUGAUCUGCAACACCCAGCGGCACCGCGGACACCAAUGCCGGCGGCUUCAAUCUGGAGCGGAUGAAUCACAACACAACAAGAACCUAACCUGCAAGUCAAAUUUGAGUGGGGAUUAGAGAUUAGGGAUUUGGAUCAGGGAAGAGAGGGAGAGAGGUCUGGUAGUGGCGGAGCAGCAUGUUCCCAUCUCUGGCGGCGUGGCCGAUCUGGCUAGGUUAGGAGCAGAUGAAUAGGAGGGAGAGAAGACAUGUGCGUGUGCCCUGUUCUUGGUGGACUAGUACUGGUGUGUGUUGUGUUCGGUGGAGGACUAGUACAGGAGAG